GACGAACGCUGGCGGCGUGCCUAACACAUGCAAGUCAACUUGAGGGAAGGAGCAAUCUGACCUGAUGGUGGCGCAAGGGUGCAUAACGCGUAAGUAACUUGCCCAAGGUAAGGAAUAACGUCGAGAAAUCGGCGCUAAUACCUCAUAAUGCAGCGGAUCCGCAUGGAUAAUGUUGUUAAAGGUUUAACCGCCUUGGGAUAGGCUUGCGUCUGAUUAGCUAGUUGGUGUGGUAAUGGCACACCAAAGGCUACGAUCAGUAACUGGUCUGAGAGGAUGAUCAGUCACACUGGAACUGAGACACGGUCCAGACUCCUAACGGGAGGCAGCAGUGAGGAAUAUUGGGCAAUGCACGAAAGUGU
Molecule: ribosomal RNA, 359 nt
Filed under: uncultured bacterium
Lineage: Bacteria
Description: bacterial SSU rRNA
Rfam family: Bacterial small subunit ribosomal RNA
Source: RNAcentral